AGAUUGAACGCUGGCGGCAUGCCUUACACAUGCAAGUCGAACGGCAGCACGGGAGCAAUCCUGGUGGCGAGUGGCGAACGGGUGAGUAAUGUAUCGGAACGUGCCCAGUCGUGGGGGAUAACGCAGCGAAAGCUGCGCUAAUACCGCAUACGAUCUAUGGAUGAAAGCGGGGACGUAAGGCCUCGCGCGAGUUGGAGCGGCCGAUAUCAGUAUUAGGUAGUUGGUAGGGUAAAGGCUACGACCAAGCCCAACGUAUCUGUACGCGUUGGUCUAGAGAGGACGACCGAGACCACGACGUGGGACUGAGACACGGCCAG
This 317-nucleotide ribosomal RNA is filed under the name uncultured soil bacterium. Its description in RNAcentral is "bacterial SSU rRNA". It matches the Rfam family "Bacterial small subunit ribosomal RNA", at positions 26 to 333 of the family's 1533-position model. The record is from RNAcentral.